UUCUAACCUGUGUAACGCGUUUGUUUUUGUUAAGUGUUUUAUAAAACACUGGAAACAAAAUCCUCAAUCUUACUAAACACUCGAACCUUGAUAGUUUCUUUCUCAGUACAUCUUCGACUCUUUCUCUCAAACUCAACGAUGUCGCUCCUUUGCUCUCCGUCGCGGCUGCACCGUCCUCCGUCGAAUGGAGGAGGGGAGAUGGUUCGGAUCUGGGUGGCUCGCUGGAGGUUCUGGGUUCGUGGGGUUGUUCUGGAAGGGUUCUAGUGCCGAGGAAGGGAGGAUCGUGGUGGUUCGUGGCUGGUUGGGUUUGGUUGUUAGUUAGGUGGUGCGGUGGUGUGGUGGGUAGUCUCUCUUCCAGUUCACAACUCUGCAUCUGAGUUAUGGAACCAGUUGCAGCAAAAUGUCUCUAAGCAUUCCUUCGAUACCCCUCUUUACAGAUUCAACGUCCCCAAUCUCCGGGUCGGAACCCUAGACUCUCUCAGCGAUGAUCUCGCCGAAUGAAACGAUAUUUAUGUAGAAGCUGUUGCUGGAACACGAAGUACUUGUUGCAGAAAGCGUGCUGCAAGACGCUGAGUGAUGCCACCCAUAACACUCCCCCCAAGUCUUCGUGCCUUAGGUUGCUGAAGGACCUGUAGUAUAGGUAGCAAAAGUGCUGGAUCAAAAUCAUUAGAGGACUGCAGAAGUCUCCAUAUCCUGAAUACUUGAUCUCUAAGCUCUAUCAUGUAUUGUAAUUCAGCUUCUGACAUCAUAAGGGGUGCAUUCGCAUUGCCAUUGAAAACAAGAGUCCUUAUAAAAUCAGGAACUGACUUGAAUGAAUCAGAAAUUGUGCUAAGAGUAAAAGCUUCAGUGACACGAACAACCUCUUUGAUAACAAGAGUCCUGAGCACUUCUCCAUCAGAACUCAAUAAUACCUUUAGGACAGGUUGUAAAGAUUCUUUAGCAGAGAAAUCUCGGUCCACUCUCCCCUGAACAAGAAGCUCUGAUUAUAUAUUUUGCUCUUUUCUGAGGAAUAUAGUAAAUAAUAACAUCUCUACUUUUUUGCAUGAUAUGGAUUGAAUUUUCUGUUUGACCCUUAAAAUACCAGCAAGUUGUUGGGAGGGAGUGUAUCUAAAUCAGUCCCCAAAAACCUUGUUUCUUCUUAUUUCAUUUAUGAUUUUUGUAGCCAUCAUGCCUUCUAUCCUAAAACUCUUCUCUCUUUGUCUACUUGUAGGCUUACCAAAUAUUGCAGUAUGUGGAAUCAUAUCAGAAAGAAAAUAGGUUCAAAUCCAUGUCUAUUGUACUCUUAUGACUGGAAUGGAAGCAAGCUUGGACAUGUUUACAAGUUUCUUAGGUCCCAGAGGUUUGAUUCAUCCUAUGAUAUUGCUAAUAAAUACAUUGACAGUUAUGCAGAUGCUCACAAGUAGGUUAGUCAUCAAAAUCCUAGAGGAAAUAUCUGUGGUGUUGACUUCAUUUGUAUUUUCAAUCCUAACCAAGCACUCAAACCCUUGAAGACAAGCUGGGCUGAAGCUGUUUUAACAAUAAUAAAGAUGUACAACAGGGGUGAUCAUGGAGCUUGGCAUUUGGAGCAUACCAGUUAGGUUUCUAGCUAUAUUUUGUAGAUUAAUUUAGUUCUAUCACAUACUUUCUACAAGACAUAAUUUCAUGAGAUAGUCUUUGAAUAA
Lotus japonicus is the source of this 1661-nucleotide long non-coding RNA. RefSeq lists it as uncharacterized. The record is from RefSeq and is a predicted model, not a curated record. The transcript is spliced from 6 exons. NCBI's taxonomy places the organism in Eukaryota, Viridiplantae, Streptophyta, Magnoliopsida, Fabales, Fabaceae.